Molecule: ribosomal RNA, 497 nt
Filed under: uncultured bacterium
Lineage: Bacteria
Description: partial 16S ribosomal RNA
Rfam family: Bacterial small subunit ribosomal RNA
Source: RNAcentral
GAUGAACGCUGGCGGCGUGCCUAAUACAUGCAAGUCGAGCGAACAGACGCGGAGCUUGCUCCUCUGACGUUAGCGGCGGGCGGGUGAGUAACACGUGGAUCACCUACCUAUGAGACUGGGAUAACUUCGGGAAACCGGAGCUAAUACCGGAUAAUAUAUUGCACCGCUUGGUUAAAUAGUCAAAGACGGUUUUGCUGUCACUUAUAGAUGGUUCCGCGCCGCAUUAGCUAGUUGGUAAGGUAACGGCUUACCAAGGCAACGAUGCGUAGCCUACCUGAGCGGGUGAUCGGCCACACUGGACCUGAGACGCGGUCCAGACUCCUACGGGAGGCAGCAGAAGGGAAUGGUACGCAAUGGGAGGAAGCCUGACGGAGCAACGCCGCGUGAGUGAUGGAGGUAUUCGGAUCGUAAAACUCUGUUAUUAGGGAAGAACAAAUGUGUAAGCAACUAUGCACGUCUUGACGGUACCUAAUCAGAAAGCCACGGCUAACUACGUG